GUCUACAGCCAUGCCACCCUGAACAAACCCGAUCCUGUCUGAUCUCGGAAGCUAAGCAGGAUCGGGCCUGGUUAGUACUUGGAUGGGAGACCACCUAGGAAGACCAGGCACUGUAGGCA
RNAcentral lists this ribosomal RNA (119 nucleotides) under Pteropus alecto (black flying fox). The record is from RNAcentral. RNAcentral also lists the same sequence under 1 other name. Lineage: Eukaryota; Metazoa; Chordata; Mammalia; Chiroptera; Pteropodidae.